GCGAAGGAAAAAAGUUCAGUUGAUUUCAAGAUACGCCGACAAAGUUCCAGCGCCAGUGAGUGAGCGUUUAUCUAGAGAUCUUGGUUUCAGUUGUCGUUGGUCUGUAAAUUUCGCCAUGAAAUCGACGAAACGUUGUGGAUAUUAUGGUUUUGUGCGUGAAUUUUAUUAUUGCAUCGAAUUCGAAAAGAGCACUGCAGAGUAUCUGUUGUGAAUGGAAAGUUUGAGGUUGGCCUUCUCCGCUUCAAGAUACCGACGCUGCCAUCACCUGACGUUGCAGCAUCGGAUUGAAAACAACUUUGUGCAAGAGAGGAAAAGAGUAAUAAGAGGCGAAUAAAGGACUGCUUUCAAUCUCUAUUGUUUUCGGAGAAGAUGACUAUGGAAGAAAUAGUUUAUGAAAAAUUAAAUAACCUUUAUCAAAGUAGAGAGGGGAAAGAGAGAAAAAUAGUAAUAGGUCUAUUACAACCCGUAAAAGCAUCAAAGAACUUAUUAAAAUUUUGUCGGGAGAAAAACAUAACGAGAAGAAAAACUCAAAAGUGUAUUACUUGUAUAAAUAUUAUUGUACUGUAGAUGAUGAUAAUGGAAUGAAACAACUAGCCAAGUAUACUAAUAAUAAUAAUACAUUUCUUAUAAUGGUUGGAUACGAAGAUUUGUAUAGAAUUAUUCACGAAGCUCAUAUAAACUGCGGCCAUAGUAAAAAAAACUGUGUAUUAUAUAUCACUUGAAAUGUGUUUUGGUAUUAGCUAAUAUUACCUAUUGUCAAAUUCAAGCAUACAAAUCCUUAUGUAUAAAUUGUAUUAAAAAGGAAUUUAGGAUCCCCAAUUUAACUUCUUCUCUUUUGCCAAUUAUAUCUGCAGGAUUUGGGCAAUGAGGUCAAGUAGAUUUGAUUGAGAUGUCUUUCUUGCGAAGCGUUCUAUAUUCUCAGUUAUCAAGAUCACUCGACUAAAUUUUGUAUCUUAAAACCUGUGCUUAAUAAAGACACUGAUACUGUAUCGAAAA
Long non-coding RNA from Macrobrachium nipponense, 996 nucleotides. RefSeq lists it as uncharacterized. The record is from RefSeq and is a predicted model, not a curated record. The transcript is spliced from 3 exons. NCBI's taxonomy places the organism in Eukaryota, Metazoa, Arthropoda, Malacostraca, Decapoda, Palaemonidae.